UACGUAGGGGGCAAGCGUUGUCCGGAAUCAUUGGGCGUAAAGCGCGUGUAGGCGGCUUCGUAAGUCCGUUGUGAAAGUCCAGGGCUCAACCCUGGAAUGCCGAUGGAUACUGCGGAGCUAGAGUCCGGAAGAGGCGAGUGGAAUUCCUGGUGUAGCGGUGAAAUGCGCAGAUAUCAGGAGGAACACCAAUGGCGAAGGCAGCUCGCUGGGACGGUACUGACGCUGAGACGCGAAAGCAUGGGGAGCGAACAGG
Molecule: ribosomal RNA, 253 nt
Filed under: uncultured bacterium
Lineage: Bacteria
Description: partial 16S ribosomal RNA
Rfam family: Bacterial small subunit ribosomal RNA
Source: RNAcentral